GCCAUGAUGGAUCACAUGUCCCUUCGGUCAUCCAUGAAACCCGUUGUGUCCCCCCCCAUCCUGAUCGUACCACAACCGCAACAGGACUCCAAGGUGAUCAGCCUCUAGGCGGGAGAGACCAUGACUCAGGGAAGUCGGCAAACUAGCUCCGUAACCUCGGGAGAGGAGUCUGAUCGAUCAGAACCGGCACGGACCGAGGGAUCCCGACUACUAACAUAGCGUCGUGCCAGUCGUCAUGGAUGCGUACACGACGUGAUUUCUGCCCAGUGCCAUGACCGUCACCAUGAAGAGGUUCAUCCAAGCCCUGGUAAACGGCGGGAGUAACUAUGACUCUCUUAAGGUAGCCAAAUGCCUCGUCGGGUAAUUUCCGACGUGCAUGAAUGGAUCAACGAGGAUCCCACUGUCCCAAGUCAUGCCUCCGUGAACCUACAGACCCGGGAACGGGCGGGUGUUGGUCGGCGGGCAAGAAGACCCUUUUGAGCUUGACUCCAAUCCGAUCCUGGGGGAUGGGAUCAUCGGUGCAGCAUACAGGGGAGGCCGCUUCCAUGAGAUACCCUGACGUUGUUCACCAUCCCACUCACCGACUUACAUCGGCACACGGUCGGAUGGGGAGUUUGGCUGGGGCGGCGCGCCUAGAUCACACCGCAGGCGUCCUAUGGGCUCGGAAACCUCACGUGGAGCAUAAGGGCAUAAGACUACCCCCUGUCCCGGUACUUGCCGUGAAAGCGUGGCCUAACGAUCCUUCAACCGCUCCGGUAAUCCGAGCGUGGAGGUGACAGAAAAGUUACCACAGGGAUAACUGGCUUGUGGCCGCCAAGCGCCCAUAGCGACGUGGCUUUUUGAUCCUUCGAUGUCGGCUCUUCCUACCGUCCGCAUGCAUCGGUGCGGAAGCGUCGGAUUGUUCACCCGUCUAAGGGAUCGUGAGCUGGGUUUAGACCGUCGUGAGACAGGUUAGUUUUAUCCUACCGACCAUCUCCAUGCGUCCAGUACGUCGGGUCAGUACGAGAGGAACACCCGUCGCGAGCCUCCGAUCUCCCGGUUGUUUGACUUGACAGUGCCGGUCUGUCGCGCUCGGGGGACUAGCACUGAACGCCUCUAAGUGUCCAUCCCACCUACUCGCAUGGGUUGAGGGGCUUCCCCUCGAUUCGCCCGGGUUGACGACCCUUUUCCGACCUACUGUACGGCGUGGAGCUUCUUGCGACCGCCUGAGGUUUGGUUCGGGUUGGCAUUCCCCCCGAG
RNAcentral lists this ribosomal RNA (1239 nucleotides) under Giardia muris. RNAcentral's name for it is "partial 28S ribosomal RNA". It matches the Rfam family "Eukaryotic large subunit ribosomal RNA", at positions 1772 to 3401 of the family's 3401-position model. The record is from RNAcentral. Lineage: Eukaryota; Fornicata; Diplomonadida; Hexamitidae.